AAGAAAAGACACUAGUGCUUGGAAAGAUAAAGAAAUGCAUUUUGUCAUUCAAGUGCAUUGGAAAAGUGUCGGCUAGAGUGUACGAGUUGUAGGAAAAGUAAUGUUAGUUCUUAGCAUCGAUCGAGAUGGUAAUGGAUUCAUUGUUUUAUUAACCAAUUAGCUGGGAUGCAUUUUUAUUUAUUAGACAAUAUCUCGAUUGAUGUUGCUACCUAGCAUUAUUACAUGUAGACAAAGGGACUAUAUAUAAUGCAAAGUGUUAUAUACAUUGAACUGAAUGCCUUUAAUUGUGGGACUCAUUAUGUGUGCAUUUGACCCAAGUUUUAUAUUUUUCCUAUAUAAAUAACACGUGGGGUAUGAACCCAUGUCAUUUUGUUUUAUUUCAUUUUCAAAUUCUAAAUCAGAUCUUAGUAAACUUAAAUUGGUGAAGUGCUUGUGCGUGUGACAUAAAUAUGUCAUCAUUAUUUA
RNAcentral lists this long non-coding RNA (465 nucleotides) under Olea europaea (common olive). RNAcentral describes it as "long non-coding RNA (OEUR_LNC013277)". Lineage: Eukaryota; Viridiplantae; Streptophyta; Magnoliopsida; Lamiales; Oleaceae. The record is from RNAcentral.